RNAcentral lists this ribosomal RNA (497 nucleotides) under uncultured bacterium. RNAcentral describes it as "partial 16S ribosomal RNA". It matches the Rfam family "Bacterial small subunit ribosomal RNA", at positions 899 to 1397 of the family's 1533-position model. The record is from RNAcentral.
ACUCAAAGGAAUUGACGGGGGCCCGCACAAGCGGCGGAGCAUGUGGCUUAAUUCGAAGCAACGCGAAGAACCUUACCAGGGCUUGAAAUGCGCGGAAAAGCCGGGGAAACCCGGUGUCCUUAGGGGUCGCGCACAGGUGGUGCAUGGUUGUCGUCAGCUCGUGCCGUGAGGUGUUGGGUUAAGUCCCGCAACGAGCGCAACCCCUGUCCUAUGUUGCCAGCGAGUCAUGUCGGGGACUCAUAGGAGACUGCCGGUGUCAAACCGGAGGAAGGUGGGGAUGACGUCAAAUCAUCAUGCCCCUUACGUUCUGGGCUGCACACAUGCUACAAUGGCCGGUACAGAGGGCUGCGAUCCCGCGAGGGUGAGCGAAUCUCACAAAGCCGGUCUCAGUUCGGAUUGGAGUCUGCAACUCGACUCCAUGAAGGCGGAGUCGCUAGUAAUCGCGGAUCAGCAACGCCGCGGUGAAUACGUUCCCGGGCCUUGCACACACCGCCCGU